UAUUUUUCUUUAUAGAUGGGUGACAAAUCCACUCAUGCUGCUUGUAUGGGUGCAACUGUAUCUAUUAUAGCUACUAGUGCUGUUAUUAUUGAAAAAUAUAAAAAUAUACCAAGAGAGCCUCGUAUAAAUGGAGAUGUUGAAAGAGAAUACUAUAUGAAUAGUUUCUUAUAUCGAGGUGAUAGGCACUGUUGAGCAACUUCGAAUGACACCUCUUGCAUUUAAUAAUCUUUGUGAUAUCCUUACUAGACAUAACCUUUUACGGUCAACUACAAAUAUGUCUAUUGAAGAACAAGUAUUUAUCUUUUUAGAAAUUGUUGGACAAAAUACCAGAUUUCGUAAAAUUGCUAGAAUAUAUUAUAGGUCGGUUGAAACUAUUCAUCGAUAUUUUAGAAUUGUAUUAAACACAAUUCUAA
RNAcentral lists this unclassified non-coding RNA (413 nucleotides) under Hevea brasiliensis (rubber tree). The record is from RNAcentral. Lineage: Eukaryota; Viridiplantae; Streptophyta; Magnoliopsida; Malpighiales; Euphorbiaceae.